CCUACGUGCGGCAGCAGUCGAGAAAUAUUCACAAUGGGGGAAACCCUGAUGGUGCGACGCCGCGUGGGGGAAUGAAGGUCUUCGGAUUGUAAACCCCUGUCAUGUGGAGCAAAUUAAAAAGAUAGUACCACAAGAGGAAGAGACGGCUAACUCUGUGCCAGCAGCCGCGGUAAUAAAGAGGUCUCAAGCGUGGUUCGGAAUCACUGGGCGUAAAGCGUGCGUAGGCUGUUUCGUAAGUCGUGUGUGAAAGGCGCGGGCUCAACCCGCGGACGGCACAUGAUACUGCGAGACUAGAGUAAUGGAGGGGGAACCGGAAUUCUCGGUGUAGCAGUGAAAUGCGUAGAUAUCGAGAGGAACACUCGUGGCGAAGGCGGGUUCCUGGACAUUAACUGACGCUGAGGCACGAAGGCCAGGGGAGCGAAAGGGAUUAGAUACCCCUGUAGUC
This 445-nucleotide ribosomal RNA is filed under the name uncultured bacterium. Its description in RNAcentral is "partial 16S ribosomal RNA". It matches the Rfam family "Bacterial small subunit ribosomal RNA", at positions 338 to 795 of the family's 1533-position model. The record is from RNAcentral.